GAUGAACGCUGGCGGCGUGCCUAAUACAUGCAAGUCGAGCGAACAGACGAGGAGCUUGCUCCUCUGACGUUAGCGGCGGACGGGUGAGUAACACGUGGAUAACCUACCUAUAAGACUGGGAUAACUUCGGGAAACCGGAGCUAAUACCGGAUAAUAUAUUGAACCGCAUGGUUCAAUAGUGAAAGACGGUUUUGCUGUCACUUAUAGAUGGAUCCGCGCCGCAUUAGCUAGUUGGUAAGGUAACGGCUUACCAAGGCAACGAUGCGUAGCCGACCUGAGAGGGUUGUCCGCCACACUGGAACUGAGACACGGUCCAGACUCCUACGGGAGGCAGCCGUAGGGAAUCUUCCGCCAUGGGCGAAAGCCUGACGGAGCAACGCCGCGUGAGUGAUGAAGGUCUUCGGAUCGUAAAACUCUGUUAUUAGGGAAGAACAAAUGUGUAAGUAACUAUGCACGUCUUGACGGUACCUAAUCAGAAAGCCACGGCUAACUUCGUG
Molecule: ribosomal RNA, 497 nt
Filed under: uncultured bacterium
Lineage: Bacteria
Description: partial 16S ribosomal RNA
Rfam family: Bacterial small subunit ribosomal RNA
Source: RNAcentral